This 254-nucleotide ribosomal RNA is filed under the name uncultured bacterium. RNAcentral describes it as "partial 16S ribosomal RNA". It matches the Rfam family "Bacterial small subunit ribosomal RNA", at positions 524 to 776 of the family's 1533-position model. The record is from RNAcentral.
CACGUAGGGUGCGAGCGUUGUCCGGAAUUAUUGGGCGUAAAGAGCUCGUAGGCGGUGUGUCGCGUCGGCCGUGAAAACCUGGGGCUUAACUCUGGGCUUGCGGUCGAUACGGGCAUCACUGGAGUUCGGCAGGGGAGACUGGAAUUCCUGGUGUAGCGGUGAAAUGCGCAGAUAUCAGGAGGAACACCGGUGGCGAAGGCGGGUCUCUGGGCAGUAACUGACGCUGAGGAGCGAAAGCGUGGGGAGCGAACAGG